UACGGAGGGUGCAAGCGUUAUCCGGAUUUAUUGGGUUUAAAGGGUCCGUAGGCGGACUGGUAAGUCAGUGGUGAAAUCUCAUAGCUUAACUAUGAAACUGCCAUUGAUACUGUUAGUCUUGAGUAUAGUUGAGGUAGCUGGAAUAAGUAGUGUAGCGGUGAAAUGCAUAGAUAUUACUUAGAACACCAAUUGCGAAGGCAGGUUACCAAGUUAUAACUGACGCUGAGGGACGAAAGCGUGGGGAGCGAACAGG
RNAcentral lists this ribosomal RNA (253 nucleotides) under uncultured bacterium. RNAcentral's name for it is "partial 16S ribosomal RNA". It matches the Rfam family "Bacterial small subunit ribosomal RNA", at positions 524 to 776 of the family's 1533-position model. The record is from RNAcentral.